AAGUCGUAACAAGGUUUCCGUAGGUGAACCUGCGGAAGGAUCAUUAUUGAGAGAGGGGCUUCGCGCUCCCGGGGGGCUCCGGCCCACCACUCUUCACCCACUGUUAACCUACCUUUAUUGCUUUGGCGGGCCUUGAGUUCAUGCUCAUGCCGGCCCCGGGCCGACCCGGGCCCGGCGUGUGCCCGUCAGCAGGUCCUUUAAAUUGCUGCUUAUCUAUUGGUGUCGUUGCCGAGCUUCAUAUUCAAUCAUCAAAC
Molecule: unclassified non-coding RNA, 254 nt
Filed under: plant metagenome
Description: partial contains small subunit ribosomal RNA and internal transcribed spacer 1
Rfam family: Eukaryotic small subunit ribosomal RNA (bases 1-46)
Source: RNAcentral